This 95-nucleotide ribosomal RNA is filed under the name Microcebus murinus (gray mouse lemur). Lineage: Eukaryota; Metazoa; Chordata; Mammalia; Primates; Cheirogaleidae. The record is from RNAcentral.
GUCUACGGCCAUACCACCCUGAACACGCCCAAUCUCAUCUGAUCUCAGAAGCUAAGCAGGGCCGGGCCUACCAGUUAGUACUUGGAUGGAAGAAA